This 823-nucleotide ribosomal RNA is filed under the name uncultured Candidatus Poseidoniales archaeon. RNAcentral's name for it is "SSU rRNA". It matches the Rfam family "Archaeal small subunit ribosomal RNA", at positions 14 to 844 of the family's 1478-position model. The record is from RNAcentral. Lineage: Archaea; Methanobacteriati; Thermoplasmatota; Candidatus Poseidoniia; Candidatus Poseidoniales.
CUGCCGGAGGCGACCGCUGUGGGAGUCCGAUUAAGCCAUGCGAGUCGAGAGAAUAAGAUUCUCGGCAUACCGCUCAGUAACACGUGGAUAACUGCCCUGUGCUGGGGGAUAACCUCGCGAAAGUGAGAACAAUACCCCAUGGGUCACUAUGCCUGGAACGGUUAGUGGCUGAAAGCUCCGGCGGCACAGGAUGGGUCUGCGGCGUAUCAGGUCGUAGGGGGUGUAACGUACCUCCUAGCCUUCGACGCGUACGGGUUGUGAGAGCAAUUGCCCGGAGAUGGAUUCUGAGACACGAAUCCAGGCCCUACGGGGCGCAGCAGGCGCGAAAACUUGACAAUGCGAGAAAUCGUGAUCAGGGGACUCCAGUUGGCUGGAUCAAAAGUCCAGUCUGAACCGACUUUAAAUCGGUCGGGUAAUAGGGGCGGGAAAGACCGGUGCCAGCCGCCGCGGUAAUACCGGCGCCCCAAGUGGUCGUCACUAUUAUUGGGCCUAAAACGUCCGUAGCCGGUUUGGUAAAUCCGUGGGUAAAUCAGACAGCCCAACUGUCUGAAUUCUGCGGGGACUGCCAGACUUGAGACCGGGAGAGGUGCGGGGUACCUGCGGGGUAGCGGUAAAAUGCGAUCAUCCCGUAGAGACCACCUGUUGCGAAGGCGCCGCACUAGAACGGAUCUGACGGUCAGGGACGAAGCCUAGGGGCACGAACCGGAUUAGAUACCCGGGUAGUCCUAGGUGUAAACGCUGUGGACUUGGUGUCGGGGACCUUCUGAGGGUUUCCGGUGCCGGAGUGAAGAUGUUAAGUCCACUGCCUGGGGAGUACGGUCGC